CAGUACCACCAGAAAUGCUGGAUUCUGCUGGAAUGGCGGCAACUGGAGAUUCAGCACAUGGCGGGAAUCCUGCAGCGGCUGGGGCUGAUGGACAGUCUUUCGCUGGAGACCUGUGGGAAGACGUCAAAUUCAAUGUUGAGCUGAAGAAGGACCACUUACAACAUAAUUUCUUGAAGUCGAAGGACUUAUCUGACCGAAGAACCCCAGGCGUAUUUACGCAGUACAAAUAUUUCCUAGGAAGGUAUCAGUCAAUUACUGAUUUGGUAUCACGCAGCCUAGAUAUUUCUGUUCUUUUAUGCAUGUAUCAAUUCUGAGUUCAGAGCCAACCAUAUUUGUUUUGUACAUGAAUUAACUUCUUUAGGGUGGUAAUAUGGCAAGAACCAGAGCGCUUCUUUAGACAUUUCAUUUUUAGAAAAUAUUCAUUUGGAUGACAUUUGAUGGGUGAGAGGGAAGGAAGAAUGCGUAGGCAUUCAUGAUAAUCUCAGAAGCUGUAGGAUGUUUGGUUCAAAUUCUACGUUUUGGUAGCUUAUAGUGAUUAAAGGUGAAUGAUCUUCACUCCCAUUAGCUUAGCAUCUGCUUACACGUACUAUUUCAAUUUUGCUCAGAGUUGGUAAACAGCGACUACGAGAAGCCAGGACACAAGUGUUAGAUUUUCUGAUUCUACUGCUCGCUGGAAUAUGCCUAGGGACACUGGCUAAAGUGAGUGAUGCUACCUUUGGGGCCAUGGGAUAUCUCUACACUGUCAUUGCAGUUUGUAAGUUUAAUUAUCCUACCUUAUUGAUCACUUUUUGAUAUGUCUCAUCCAUUUCAACUCUUUCAAAAAAUCAUGCGUGCCACAGAAUCAAUUCUAAUAUCUCAUGAUGUUGCUAGCAUCUAUGAUACUACUAUAUCGCACUGCAUGUUAAAGAUCUUUGUCAUUUCGUGAAAGUUUGCAGACACACAAGAGAUGUGUUGCAAGCGUAUGCCCGAUGCUAUUAGAUAUUCUUCAAAACUUAUUAUUUUGUAAAUUCUCUUCUGAUGAUAUUGUUCAUUCUUUCUCAUUUACCAAGUUUUUAUUCCUUGCUCUCAGCUCUACUCAGCAAGAUUACAGCUUUGAGAUCAUUUUCUCUGGAUAAGUUGCAUUACUGGAGGGAGAGUGCUUCUGGCAUGAGCAGCUUGGCUUACUUUCUUGCCAAGGACACGGUUGACCAUUUUAACACAAUUGUAAAGCCAGCAGUUUAUAUGUCAAUGUUUUAUUUCUUCAACAAUCCAAGAUCAAGCAUUAUGGACAAUUAUGUUGUGUUGGUGUGUCUGGUGUACUGUGUUACUGGUAUAGCUUAUACACUUGCCAUCUACUUUGAACCUGGUCCUGCCCAAUUGGUAUGCAUUUGAAGUUCCUACUGCAUGAUAUAUAUAUAUAUAUAUAUAUAUAUAUAUAUAUAUAUAUAUAGUACUAGUAUAUUUAUAUACCAUUUGCAUGGCUCAUAAAUUAGUUCUGCUCCCUGCAGUGGUCAGUGCUGCUUCCGGUUGUCCUAUCUCUGAUUGCAAACCAGGAGGGUGACCCAUUUUUUAAUAAACUAGGGAACUUCUGCUACACAAAAUGGGCUUUGGAAGCAUUUCUCAUAGCAAAUGCAAAAAGGUUUGAUCCAAAUGUCAUGUCUUUGCAAUUCACAUUACAGUCUCUAUUUAGUUUUCUCACAUGUCACAAAUCGCCAAAUAAUUAAUCAGCCUAUAUUGCCCCGUAGAGACCGACAUCAUUGACUUAGUGGACUAUUGUUUGAAUUCAAUUCUUGUUAGUAGAAAUUUAGUUCCAUUCAUCAAUUUUCACGAAAAAUAAUGCCAAGAACAUCCCAAAAUGUCGUGACUACAGAUGGAGUUCUGCACAGUCCCUCUUGUUUACUUUCUUGAUUAGACAUGGUACAUGCUGUUUCUCAUGCUGCUGUGGAAAUUGGAAUCUUACAGGAUUUGAAUUUCAAUUAGCAUUCAGUAGCUGUACAAAUUUCUAAUCCUGUCAAAGUAUUAUGACACAUUGGUCUUGUAAAAGAUCAUCAGGCCUGAUCAAAGAGGACAAACUUAGAAUGGACAUUACCUAGGGCCAUUGUAUGCAUGUUAAUAUGGCAAACCUGCGUGGUUGUAAAGAAAGGGACUGAAAAUACUAACAAUUAACUCGCAAGGCUACUUCACCUUACUAUGCUUCUUUCCACGUGAAUGCUGUUGCAAUUGCUAGCCAAGAAAGAUGGAACUCUGCUGGGGAUUUCAGAAGACAGUACAAAUUACUAACUCGUAUGUGUCAAAUCAGUCCUGGUUACUAGCAUGCAUGCAGUAGAUAACUAAUGAGGAAAACAAAAGAGAGUUAAAAAGUUAUCCUUCGCACCUUAUAGUGAAUAUACCUCAACAAAAUGUUGAGAUAGUUGAUCAAUGUCUAAUCUACUGGCUGAAUACUCUGCUCAUUUAUCUGAUCUUAUUUCUUUGAUUGUCAGGUACUCAGGAGUG
This 2472-nucleotide long non-coding RNA is filed under the name Coffea arabica (coffee). RNAcentral's name for it is "long non-coding RNA (CARA_LNC000726)". Lineage: Eukaryota; Viridiplantae; Streptophyta; Magnoliopsida; Gentianales; Rubiaceae. The record is from RNAcentral.